Meriones unguiculatus (Mongolian gerbil) is the source of this 107-nucleotide small nuclear RNA. The record is from Ensembl. Lineage: Eukaryota; Metazoa; Chordata; Mammalia; Rodentia; Muridae.
GUGCUCUCUUCGGCAGCAUAUAUACUAAAACUGGAAUGAUACAGAGAAGAUUAGCAUGGCCCCUAUCCAAGGAUGACACGAAAAUUCAUGAAGCAUUCCUUAUUUUU